RNAcentral lists this long non-coding RNA (1275 nucleotides) under Ornithorhynchus anatinus (platypus). Its description in RNAcentral is "lncRNA (ENSOANG00000043624.1)". The record is from RNAcentral. Lineage: Eukaryota; Metazoa; Chordata; Mammalia; Monotremata; Ornithorhynchidae.
GUGAGCGUGGAGGCACAGGAUAGGGGCCCCCGCGACGCCGGGCCGGGCCGGGCCGGACCGUCCCGCCCCGCCACCGCCGCCUCCUCGGAGCCCUCACCUUCACGGGGGGGCGCCCAAAAGGCGGAUGGAGGUGGUUUGGUUGGUUUGCUACCUGGGGCGGGGAGCGGGGGGAGACGGGGGCGGGUCUGGCCGCUGCAUAAACCGCCCUCUGCCAGGGGCGGCGGGACAGGACUGGCCGGGCCGGGCCGGGCGCCAGGUCAAAGAGGGGGCGCCCCCCGCGCAGCCCCCCAACAUGAGCCCCCGUCCGGCAGCCUCGGGGGAGGCCAGGCCGGGGGGAGGCCAGGCCGAGCCGAGCCCGAAACCGAGCCCGAGCCGAGCCCCCGAAAUGCCUCGAUUGCGGGCCGGAGCGGGGCCUCCUUAAGAGGGGCGGGGCUGCGGGGGCCGGCGCGGCCUCUCGCUGAUUGGCGGGCGGGGCCGGGGGGGCGGGGCCCGGGCCCGAGCUCUAUAAAUAUUUAUGAGCGCGGCGGCUGGAGGCGAGCGGGGGCCGGACACGGGCAAGUUGGGCAAAGGGCGCUGCUCCCGCGGCGGCGAAGGCGAAGGCGGCGGCGGCAGCACCAUCACCAUCACCCUCACCCUCACCCUCAUCAUCAUCAUCAUCAUCCCCUCCACCAGCAGCAGCAGCAGCAGCAGCAGCAGCUCAGGUGGUCCGGGGCGAGCCAAGGACCUGCCCUGCAGCCUCCCGCCGACCAGGACCGGCCCGGACCCCGGCGGGGAGGUGCGGGGCCGUGCGGGGCCAAGCGGGGCCGUGCGGGGCCAAGCGGGGCCGGAGGGAAGGUCGCCGAGGUGAAGGCGGGGCCGCGACCCCGCCGCUCCGCUGUCUGGGCGCUCCCAGCCGUCUCGACUCGGCACCACGGGGGCCGGAGGGGCAACUUGCCGCCGCCGCCCCCCCCGCUUCCCGGCCGGGCAGAGUCACCGUGGGCGCGGGAGGAGCGGGGGCCGCGGCGCCGGGGGUCCGGGCCGAGGAAAAGGCGCCCACGCCCAGCGCCCCAGCGGGAGGAGGAUGGGACCGCGUCCCGCAAGCCCGCUCCGGGGCCACUGAAGCGGCCCGGACCGAAUCGCUCCCUCUCCGUCUCUUUGGGCACCGCAGAAGGGGAGGCGGCGGAGAGGGACCGGCCGAGGGGACCGGAGGUGGGGGACGAGGAGGGGCAGGAGGGAGGACCGGCCCUGUCCCCCGCCCGGCUCCACGCCCAGGCCAGCCGGGGGACCCUCCCUUGA